UCAUAAUAACACUACCACCACAAACCAGGGCAAGUCGUAACAUGGUAAGCGUACUGGAAAGUGCGCUUAGAAACAA
This 76-nucleotide ribosomal RNA is filed under the name Oligodon arnensis albiventer. RNAcentral's name for it is "partial 12S ribosomal RNA". The record is from RNAcentral. Lineage: Eukaryota; Metazoa; Chordata; Lepidosauria; Squamata; Colubridae.